This 145-nucleotide ribosomal RNA is filed under the name Hesperocyparis stephensonii. RNAcentral describes it as "5.8S rRNA". It matches the Rfam family "5.8S ribosomal RNA". Rfam says of the family: 5.8S ribosomal RNA (5.8S rRNA) is a component of the large subunit of the eukaryotic ribosome. Lineage: Eukaryota; Viridiplantae; Streptophyta; Pinopsida; Cupressales; Cupressaceae. The record is from RNAcentral.
AACGGAUAUCUCGGCUCUCGCCACGAUGAAGAAUGUAGCGAAAUGCGAUACUUAGUGUGAAUUGCAGAAUCCCGUGAAUCAUCAAGUCUUUGAACGCAAGUUGCGCCCGAGGCCUCGACCAAGGGCACGUCUGCUUGGGCGUCGC